This 434-nucleotide ribosomal RNA is filed under the name uncultured bacterium. Its description in RNAcentral is "partial 16S ribosomal RNA". It matches the Rfam family "Bacterial small subunit ribosomal RNA", at positions 341 to 792 of the family's 1533-position model. The record is from RNAcentral.
ACGGGAGGCAGCAGUGGGGAAUAUUGCACAAUGGGCGCAAGCCUGAUGCAGCGAUGCCGCGUGAGGGAAGAAGGUUUUCGGAUUGUAAACCUCUGUCAACAGGGACGAAAAUGACGGUACCUGUGAAGGAAGCCCCGGCUAACUACGUGCCAGCAGCCGCGGUAAUACGUAGGGGGCAAGCGUUGUCCGGAAUGAUUGGGCGUAAAGGGCGCGUAGGCGGCUUGUUAAGUCUGGAGUGAAAGUCCUGCCUUCAAGGUGGGAAUUGCUUUGGAUACUGAUGAGCUUGAGUGCAGGAGAGGUAAGUGGAAUUCCCAGUGUAGCGGUGAAAUGCGUAGAGAUUGGGAGGAACACCAGUGGCGAAGGCGACUUACUGGACUGUAACUGACGCUGAGGCGCGAAAGUGUGGGGAGCAAACAGGAUUAGAUACCCUGGUA